UUCAGUUUUUGUAAAAAUAGUUUGAUUUAGGGAGAGAGCUGCAAUUUAAGAUUCGCAUGCUUACAGCAUAGGAAAGACAAACAAAACUCUUUGCAGUGUCUUCCCAGUACAGGCAAGUGCUGUUAAUGCAAAGUUUGUUCAGCAUCCCUAUGGAAUUAUAACAGUGAGGUCUUGACCUUCUUCUGAGGUAUAAUAGCUCAGAUCUCUGUAUCCAUGAAGAAUCUUUUUGAAGUCACAGGUUUACACUGGAGUGCUUUUCUGUCACAGUGUAUCAUCUGGCCUAUUUGUUUUAGAAGAUCACAGGAAUUUAACUGAGUAAAAGUAGACUUAAAAUACUUCACAAAGAUAUUUCAGUUUAAAAGAAAAGUUUGAGAUCACAAAAAUGGCCCUCUUAACAAAAUAAAUUCAGUGUGAAAGAGUGUUUCUAAUCUUGGUUCAGGCAAUGAUGAAAUGAAAAUACUGUUGUGCUUGAUUUCAGGUUCACCAUUCAUACGUUGCUGUUCUCUUCUUGCAGAUACAGAGGUGAUCAUUCUUAAAACAGACGCUUUCUUCAUCGUGAUAAGUAGGUCCUGUGGCUUUGGACUGGAGCUUCCACCAUCAAGCACAGCACUGCUGCGGUCCUACUGAACUCAUGGCCUCAGCUCUGCUGCAGGAGAGAGAGGAAGAGCAUGAAGAAGUAGAUGGGGCAGUGGUCCUUUCCUAGAACUGACUGCUGUGAAGCAGUAGACAUAGCAUUUAGGAACAAUUUUGUCAUUCUUUACCUGCAAUAAGCAUUAUAGAAUGCAUCCAACAUAGGGGAGAAUUGGAUAAAUCAGGAUAAAUGGCCUGAAAGGCACAUGCAAUGAUGAUAAUGGACAGUACGAUCAGCUGUUGUGUUCCUUUGUGUCAGAACAGAAGCAACAAUAUGUGGUCACUCUAAUAAACGCAGCAAGAAUAUAGAAACUUUAUGUUAC
RNAcentral lists this long non-coding RNA (953 nucleotides) under Anser cygnoides (Swan goose). RNAcentral's name for it is "lncRNA (ENSACDG00005007295.1)". Lineage: Eukaryota; Metazoa; Chordata; Aves; Anseriformes; Anatidae. The record is from RNAcentral.